CCCUCGGCUGCGGGGUAGCGGGCAGCCCUGCGCUGCCGGCCGCCUAGCCUGCACCCCCCGCCCUGGGAGGGAAGCCUCGCUCCAGCCGCGUCGUUUCCGCGCCGAAGUGCGAUCCGGGGCCCCGCGCUGGAGUCCCCUGCUCUCAGGCUGGUGGCAGUUGCUGGAGUACCAGGGCACCAAGUGGAGGAUGUGGUAGACAGCCUCUAAGAUGCGCCCCCUGCCAAUGAUCUCUGCCUCCAGGGAGGAGCUAGAAGGCAGAGAGAAAGCCACUCAGGACUUCCCAUCCCAGAAGAUAAAGGUGAGGAAAGCAGCAGCAGCAGCCACAGGCCAGUAUUCCAGAGCAGCUUUGGGUUCCUGUCAAGACCUGCUUUGAGAAGGAGGUGGCUGUGGGGCUGGAGGGCUGGGCCUGUUCCUGAGCUGGCUGCUGGCAGCACAGCAAUGAGGCAACAUUGAGAACUGCGACACGAGGCCCAGUCCUGCUACUAAACCAACUGUGUGGACUUGCAUAGUCACUUCACCCCUCGGGCCUCCAUUUCUCCACUUUGGAAAGCAGUGUUGGGACGAUGUUAAGGGUUUGCAACCUUCCAACAUGAAGACUUAUUUUUAAAAGCAAAACAUUUCAAAGAGUCCACAUGACAGUAGUGUUCAUUUUGGCA
This 656-nucleotide long non-coding RNA is filed under the name Homo sapiens (human). Its description in RNAcentral is "MIDEAS antisense RNA 1". Lineage: Eukaryota; Metazoa; Chordata; Mammalia; Primates; Hominidae. The record is from RNAcentral.